This 2925-nucleotide long non-coding RNA is filed under the name Marmota monax (woodchuck). The record is from RNAcentral. Lineage: Eukaryota; Metazoa; Chordata; Mammalia; Rodentia; Sciuridae.
UGAAUACCAAGAAAAGUCAGGAAAACUGAGUAAACUAAGGAAGACAUUACAGAAUAUGAAUGAGAAAUUCAACAAUAAGAUACAGAUAUUAAAAAAAAACUGAAAAGAAAUCUUGGAAACAAAAGGUACAGUGAGUCAAAUAAAAAAUACAGCUGAAAUUAAAUCCUUUUAAUGUAUUAGAGCAGGUAGUAGAUACUCAAACCUUAGAGAUAAUGUCAUCAUUCAGACAGUAUUUAAGAAAAAAAUGAAACUACAAUAACAAAAUACAAUAUCUCUAGGACAUUAUGAGAGAAAUUGAAGGCCCAUAGACAUUGAGUAAUGAGAAAAAAUGUAGGACUACCAGGUGCCUGAGAGUGACCAUAGGCAUCAGCACCCACAUAAAACUUUCAUCCAGUCACCUGAGCAGAAGUCCCAGAUGCAGCUCCCACACAGGACACCUGACAGCUACCCAAACACUGGAUCUGAAGCCACCACCCCUGUGUGGACCCCCAAGUUACUUCCAUCUUGGGAUUCUGCAGCAACAGAGAUAGUCCCCUAUGCAUCAUAGCCUGCCUGCACAAGGGAAUGUCACCUAGGCUCUGAAGAAAGCCACAGCCACACACUGCAUGCCACAUAUCCAGUCUCUAAACUCAUUGUCCAAAACCAUUGCCUUUCUCCCCCCCGCCACCCAACCCAACACCCCAUGGCUAAAAGCAAAUGCCUCAAUUUUGGGUCACCUUCAUGAGCAUCUUUAGUGGGGGCAACUCCAGCUAGCCAGGUUCUCAGUUUCUAACUCCUCCUGCUCCCCAGCAGAUGCUUACCUGGCAUAGUGACUGCCCAACACAAAGCAGCUCUUAGCAGGGCAGGUGCACAGGAUGCUCAAAGCCCCAGAAAGAAAUGUCCUGUAUUAGGAAGCAGUAAUGGAGAGGGUGAGUGUGAUACGUUUAGAGAUAAAGAGACUAGGAACUGGGAGGCCUUCAGGUGAGAUAAGGAAAUAAGACCAGGUCCUCACAUCACAGGAGCAGGCCCCACAAGAGAUCCUUCUGGUGCAGUCUCCCCUUGGGGACAAGUGGGUGUCACAUCCCACUUCCAGGUGCCCUACACCCAGGACCAACUCAACCUCCCCUGGUUACCUUCACCAUCCUGAAGGUGGAGAUACCAGCUAUCAACAGAGAAACCCACCUAUUUGGAUGAAAAGGGAAACAGGAAAGAUACUGAUCCCCAACCAACACAAUCUGUAUUCCUUCCUUCAAAUUUUUUUUUCAUUCUUCUCUCUCUCUUCUCCUGCUCUCAUAUCUUCCACAUAUGUGAAACCAAGUUCUUUGCAUGAAUUAGGAUAUGAAAAAUGAAGGGCUGGAGAUGUGGCUCAAGUGGUAGCGCGCUUGCCUGGCAUAUGUGCGGCCCGGGAUCGAUCCUCAGCAUUACAUACAACAAAGAUGUUGUGUCCCCCGAAAACUAAAAAAUAAAUAUUAAAAAAAGGAUAUGAAAAAUGAGAUUACUGAAUAGUAGGAUAUUACAGUUAUGUUGUAUAUUCUUUUCUUUUUCUUUUUCUGCAGUUUUUACGAUUUUAACAUUUUUUAUAUUUCUUAAUAUUUAUGUGUGUUUGUUUCAUGUACUCUACUGUCUUCCCAUUUACUUGUCUACCAAAAAUUAUUUUCCCUCUACUCACCUGCUACUAACUUCUUACUUAGAUUUCUCUUUCACACUUCCUAAGAUAUAAUAACUCUAUAUCCUCACUUUAUACUUCCUCAGCAUAUCAUCUUACGCCUCACCUCCAGUUCUUUUUCCACCAUCAGAAUCUGUAAACCCUUUUACAAAUCUACUGAUUAUAUCAUAAAUAAUAAUUGAAUUCACCAUUUCUGUAAAUUAUGACCAAACUGUAAACAUCUAUUGCAGCUAUUUUUUUUUGCUUGGUAUAUUGCUUAUGUUGGUAUCUGUUAACGUUGUACUACCCAUCAAAGGAGAGGUAUUAAAAUCCUACAGGGGCACUAUAAGAUUAUAAGGUAAAAUGGUAAUGCCUUAGAUCCACAAUGCUAGAAGCGAAGACACACAAGCAACAUGAAAACACAAAGGAAGAAAAUGCCUCAAACAAACCAAGAUACCACAUUAUUAGAAUCCAUGGCCAAUACAGCAGAAGAAAUUACAGAUAAGGAGUUCAGGAUGUACAUAAUUAUAAUAUUCUGUGAAUUAAAGGAUGAUAUAAGAGAGCAAAUACAGCGAGCAAAAGAUCAUUUUGACAAAGAACUACAUAAGCAAAUACAGGAAGCAAAAAGAUCACUUCAAUAGGGAGACAGAGGUUCUAAAUGAAAACCAAACAGAAAUCCUUGAAAUGAAAGAAAUAAUAAACCAAAUUAAAAGUUCAAUUGAAAGCAUCACCAUCAGAUUAGACCACUUGGAAGACAGGACCUCAGACAAUGAAGAAAAAUAUGUAAUCUUGAAAAGAAUGUAGACCACACAGUGAAAAUGGUAAGAAACCAUGAGCAGAACAUUCAAGAAACAUGAGAUAGCAAAAAAGACCAAAUGUAAGAGUUAUUGAUAAAGAGGGAGGCAUAGAGUUUUAAACCAAAGGAAUGGACAAUCUACUCAAUGAAAUAAUAGCAGAAAAUUUUCCAAGCAUGAAGAACAAAGUGAAAAACCAAAAUCAAGUGGCUUACAGAAUGCCAAAUGUACAAAAUCAUAACAGAUCUACACCAAGGCACAUUAUAGUGAAAAUGCCUAACAUACAGCAUAAGGAGAGAAUAAUAAAAACCAUGAGAGAAAGAUAUCAGAUUACAUAUUGGAAAAACUAAUUAGGAUAUCUGCAGAUUUUUCAACCCAGACCCUGAAAGCUAGAAGAUCCUGGAACAAUAUAUAUCAAGCCUUGAAAGAAAAUGUAUGCGAACCAAGAAUCUUGUAUUCAGAAAAUUUAAGCUUUAGAUUUGAUGAUGAAACAAAAACCUUCCAUGA